CGUGGUCCUGCCAACGUCUGGCCCGUGAACCCCGCCAGGCCCGGAAGGGAGCAACGGUAGCGGUGUCCAGCGUGUGGCGGGGCCCUUCCU
This 90-nucleotide signal recognition particle RNA is filed under the name Actinomycetota bacterium. Its description in RNAcentral is "Actinobacteria bacterium signal recognition particle sRNA small type". It matches the Rfam family "Bacterial small signal recognition particle RNA". Rfam says of the family: The signal recognition particle (SRP) is a universally conserved ribonucleoprotein involved in the co-translational targeting of proteins to membranes. Archaeal SRP consists of a 7S RNA and homologues of the eukaryotic SRP19 and SRP54 proteins. In most bacteria, the SRP consists of a 4.5S RNA and the Ffh protein (a homologue of the eukaryotic SRP54 protein). Lineage: Bacteria; Bacillati; Actinomycetota. The record is from RNAcentral.